This 255-nucleotide ribosomal RNA is filed under the name uncultured marine eukaryote. RNAcentral's name for it is "partial 18S ribosomal RNA". It matches the Rfam family "Eukaryotic small subunit ribosomal RNA", at positions 1207 to 1456 of the family's 1831-position model. The record is from RNAcentral.
GGGGAAGCUCACCAGGGCAAGACACUAUUAGGAUUGACAGAUUGAUAGCUCUUUCUCGAUAAAGUGGGUGGUGGUGCAUGGCCGUUCUUAGUUGGUGGAGUGAUUUGUCUGGUUAAUUCCGAUAACGAACGAGACUCUGACCAAUUACUAGUGAAAUCUUUAGAAAAGAAAGUUACCGCAGUAAUGCAGUUUCAUUCGAGAUAUUACUUCGUUAAGGGGACACGCUAUUGUGAAUAGCACGAGGAAGAGCAAUAA